This 468-nucleotide ribosomal RNA is filed under the name uncultured bacterium. RNAcentral's name for it is "partial 16S ribosomal RNA". It matches the Rfam family "Bacterial small subunit ribosomal RNA", at positions 28 to 507 of the family's 1533-position model. The record is from RNAcentral.
GACGAACGCUGGCGGCGUGCUUAACACAUGCAAGUCGAACGGAAAGGCCCUGCUUUUGUGGGGUGCUCGAGUGGCGAACGGGUGAGUAACACGUGAGUAACCUGCCCUUGACUUGGGGAUAACUUCAGGAAACUGGGGCUAAUACCGGAGAGGAGCUCCUGCAGCAGGGUGGGGUUUGGAAAGUUUCGGCGGUUGGGGAUGGACGCGCGGCUUAUCAGCUUGUUGGGGGGGUAGUUGCUUACCAAGGCUUUGACGGGUAGCCGGCCUGAGAGGGUGACCGGCCUCAUUGGGACUGAGAUACGGACCAGACUCCUACGGGAGGCAGCAGUGGGGAAUAUUGCACAGUGGGCGGGAGCCUGAUGCAGCAACGCCGCGUGCGGGAUGACGGCCUUCGGGUUGUAAACCGCUUUCGCCUGUGACGAAGCGUGAGUGACGGUAAUGGGUAAAGAAGCACCGGCUAACUACGUG